UGUGUGUUAGUGGAAGCGUCUGGAAAGGCGCGCGAUACAGGGUGACAGCCCCGUACACAAAAGCGCAUGUGCUGUGAGCUCGAUGAGUAGGGCGGGACACGUGGUAUCCUGUCUGAAUAUGGGGGGACCAUCCUCCAAGGCUAAAUACUCCUGACUGACCGAUAGUGAACCAGUACCGUGAGGGAAAGGCGAAAAGAACCCCGGCGAGGGGAGUGAAACAGAACCUGAAACCGU
RNAcentral lists this ribosomal RNA (234 nucleotides) under Salmonella enterica. Its description in RNAcentral is "partial 23S ribosomal RNA". It matches the Rfam family "Bacterial large subunit ribosomal RNA", at positions 323 to 559 of the family's 2925-position model. RNAcentral also lists the same sequence under 1 other name. The record is from RNAcentral. Lineage: Bacteria; Pseudomonadati; Pseudomonadota; Gammaproteobacteria; Enterobacterales; Enterobacteriaceae.